This is an RNA transcript of Drosophila eugracilis, 3808 nucleotides long. It is a transcript of the gene named mediator of RNA polymerase II transcription subunit 12, with no coding region annotated. NCBI's taxonomy places the organism in Eukaryota, Metazoa, Arthropoda, Insecta, Diptera, Drosophilidae. The record is from RefSeq and is a predicted model, not a curated record. The transcript is spliced from 7 exons.
GUCUUACGGAACGGUCACUCUAGCGGCCACUUUGAACAACAACAGCACGCGUCGCGUCUCUUCGCCUUUCUCCUUUUUUUUUUAUAAUAAACUACACUACACUCCUGGCAUUUUUUCGUGUCGCGCGUGAUAAAAUUGGCAAUAAAUAAAACAUAGUGUGCGCGUAGUGUCAAUUUGAAAAUUUAAACAGAAAGUUAAACACCUUGCCUUACAACAACAACAAAUACUAAAAAAGAGAAAGACGAAUCCAAAGCCAGGACCUUCACAGUUGAAUAAGGAUCGUGUGCGAGAGGGACAGAGCGGGACUUGAUCAACGGGAUACAGGGUGACAUGUGGAGUCCGACGCACUGCAGUGUAACGGUGCAGCGAGCGCGAGGGCUGCUAACCAAAGGCAAGAAUGGCACCAAUAACUGCUUCGUCACCAUUGCAUUGGGCAAGGAGAAGUACCAGACGUCGGUCAAGGACAAGGCUGAGAAUAGCGUCAAUUGGAAUGAAGAAUGUGAACUAAAAAUCCCCGAUCAAGGCAAUCGCGCCGAGCUCACCUUGACCUGCCUGCACAGGAACAAUCUGGGCAUCGAUGAGUUCCUCGGCCAGGCCUCGUUGCCCCUCAACGAGAUGGACGUUUACGACCGGCCAAGGGCCAAGUGGUUUAAGCUGGAGAGCAAGCCCGGCAAGGAGAAGAAGAACAAGGAGCGUGGCGAGCUGGAAGUGCGUAUCGCUUUUGUGGUCAAGUCCGGCUCGUUGACCGACCUUAGCAAGAAGGAUAAGCACAAGUCUUCCAUUGGCCAGCUGGCCAGUUCUGUGGGCGGCAGUUUGUUGUCCAUUGGCAACGGCGAGAAGCGGCGUAGCAUCAAGAAGUUAGCUGGUUCACUUAGCUCCAAGCUGCAUAUUCGCAGCAAAAAGAAGAACCAGGAGGGAGGAGCCGAUGACAGCAGCUCCUUUGGUGGCUCAUUUGCCAGCCUGGGUACGCCGAACAGCUCCAAUGGCAGGGGUCAGAAUGGCGGCAGUGGACGGCGACGUGGCGGUCAACGGGCAGGCGAGGCUGAUCCCGGUGUGAUCAGUGAAGAUGAGGAUGAGUUUGUCUUCGACAAUCUCUCGCACAAGAGCUCGGGCAGCUCACUCAACAUCCAACGUAGUGGCCUGCAGCCGCCGCCAGUCGGAACGCCCAACUUUGCGCCGCGCCAUCCAUCGCCCCUGCUGAGCAACGGACUGGGCGGCGCUGGAAGCGGCAGCGGGAAAGGUAAGCAAGCGGUUAUGCCAGCAACGCUCGAUGAGGAUGCGCCCAUCGAUGCGGAUAUGGAACAGCUUGAGCUCGAUUUCAGUGUCCGUGCCCAUGCCCGCGCCAACGCCAGCGGAAAUGCCAGCACCCUGCCGCCACCCUCGAAGCCGCCGCGCAAUCCCUUGUCACAGGCGGACGAGCAGCCGGCUGCUGGAAGUCUGGAACGUGAGAAGCCCAAGGAGAAGCCAGCCGAGUUGGAGAACGAAUGGGCUUCCAAGUUAUAUGGCGGUGGCAAGUAUUUGGAAAUCGGUAGCAGUGACUCCUUGAAACGUCGCAGCUGGGAGGAUCGAGUGCCGCUCCCAGCCAGUGUAGAGGAGCCACCGCCAGUGCCCUCGCCCAGCUCAUCGUCUAGCUCUAGCUCGGAUAGCGAUGAUGAUGAUGAUAAUGAUGAGCACCCACCGUAUACAGCUCCACCACCUGUACCCGUCCUUGCUUCUAAUCCCGUUCCAGCUGCUGCCGCUGUUGCUGCUGAACCAGUGGUGGCCAGCACAUCCUCGCUCUUCUCCCCCGAUGUUGAGCACCGCAACUUUGAUACCUUUAAUGCCAGCUUCGCUAAAUUCGAGCAGCGCAACAGCACAGCCAUCUUUGCAGAUGAACCCGAGUUGGAAGAUCUAACCGUGGAGCUAGAGAAGCCGGCACCCACGCCCACAGCACGCCCCAAGCCACAGCCACGUGUCACGUCCGAUCUAAGGGCAGAUGAGGAAAAGGCCAAGGAAGAGGCUGCGCGGCAACAGCGCGCCGAGGAGGAUGCCCGCCUAGAGGCGGAGCUGCGUCUGAAUGAGGAACGCCUGCGUGAAGAGGAGGCGGCUAUGCAGCGAGAGUUGGAGGAGGAGAAGGAGCGCCAGAAGCAAAUGCAGCUGGAUGAACAGCAGCGACGCGAGGCCAAGCGCCGGGAAGAAGAUCAAAGGCUUCUGAGCUUUGCCAAGCGACCAACUUCCCUUGAGGAGCCAGUCACUGAGAAGCAGGAGCUAAAACAUGAAAGGGAGUUUGUUGUGACCAAGCGGGAGCAGGAGCAGGAGGUGGAAACGACAGAGCCCGAACACAACUUCCUAACUCCCGAGCAGUCGCCAAAGGAGUUCCAGACAAAUGGCAGCGGCAGCGGAAAUGGUGAACGCUGGGAGAAGCGGCUGGGCAAGUUCAAAUAUGGCAAUAAGCGAGAUAAGUACAAUAACGACAAUGAGAGCAACUCGCCUAGUCCCAAGUCCACGGAGCGCAUCAUCAUUGGUCACGAGAAGUCGGGAUCGCAUGCAGAGCGCCGGUCGGAAAUAUCCGCUCAGCUGGCCAAGAAGUACGAGGGCAAGUCCCGGGAGGAACUAAUGUUAAUUGCCAAUGGAAUGGAGAAUGAGGCCUUGCUGCAACGGCAGCGAGUUAAAGAGCUGGAGGACUAUCUGGACAACCUGCUGCUGCGUGUGAUGGAGACACAUCCGAAGAUCUUGCAGAAUCCAUAUUCGCGUACCACGUCCGCCAAGAGGUACGCCAACUGGUCAUUCUGGUCGCUGUCUAGAACCACGGCCACCCACUAAUCAACUGCAUGAUUCUGACCUGCCGUUAUAAAAAUUACAUCAAUAUGAAUGACUUUCUAAAGUAAGUGCUGCGCAUGCUGCAAGUUGCAUUUAAGUAGACACUUAACCAACAAAUCCCCAACAACAACAACAACAACAACUACUACAACAACAUCACCAACAACAACACCACAACCCCCCCAAUAAGAACAACCAACUGCAAGACAACGAGUAACAAAGAACGCAAAGGCGCAAGAACUUCGGCUUAAGGAACCAUCGAAGGCGGGAUCGAACGGUUAAUAAGCCAAAAAAAACUGGUCAUCGUUUAAGCCAACUGGUUCCCUAACAGCUGGAGGAGGAGAUCGAUGGAGCCGGUGCAGUUAUGUUGUGUGAAUGAAACGAAACACCAAACCAACCAAACACCACGUUGCCUUUGUCGUGAACAGCGAAAUUCAAGUGCUUUCUAAAUCGUAAAUCCUAAGAAAAAGAGGGAAACGUAAACGUAGGCUUAAGGAGUGCAAAAAUUUUAAUUGAUAUUUUACGUAGCAUUCGUUCUUCUUUGUCGUUUGCCGACCCCUUCCCUAUUAAACCGAACUAAAUUAAUUGUACUAUAUAUAUAUAUACUACUACUACUACUAUGUUAUAUCUGGCAAUAACGCUGGAUCAUUGAUUUGCCUUGAUUCGAGUCCCUUUGUCGAUUGAUUGAAAUUAUCCAAAAGUAUUUUGUUUAUUCAUUAUUUUUUUUUUUUUGUAUGUCAAAUUUGUAUUGUAAUAUUGAAAAGUUUUUGUAAAGUGCUGCAUGGGAAGUGGCCUUAGUGGUUUAAGUCUUAAAUUAUUUAUGUUAAUAGCGGCUAAGCAAAAUAUGGGGGGAAUGGGGGGACCUAUGACCUAUGUAUGUCCCCUGCAAAAAAAAAAAAAACAAAAACAAACAAAAAAACACCACACACAGUUGAUAAAUAUGUUGAUACUACAAUGAUUUUACUUAUUGAUAUACACGCAAACGGAAUAAAAACAUUUUUAACAUUAA